Molecule: long non-coding RNA, 1006 nt
Filed under: Salmo trutta (river trout)
Lineage: Eukaryota; Metazoa; Chordata; Actinopteri; Salmoniformes; Salmonidae
Description: lncRNA (ENSSTUG00000014085.1)
Source: RNAcentral
CAAUGAUAUCAGGUGUGUAAUCAUUAAUCCAAACAGUUGCAACUAGAACUAGAGUUUCUAUUGGACAAAUUCAGGACAAGGUCACAUCUUGCACACAUCUGAACAGCUCGAGCUUUAGAGCAAUGAACCAUUUGUUUGGAUGGACAAGGCUCAUGCUGCUAUAUUUCGUCAAUUAUGUUCUCUGUGCUUCCCAGCAAACAGUAAAGUCUGAGACUCAGCAGGUGAAAGGCAUUGUGGGACAGUCUUUAUCUUUUCCAGAGAGAGUGUUUAAAACUGGAUAUUUAAGGUAUGGAGAAGACACUACUGCAAGUGUGAUGAAUGGACAAAGCCAUGUAGAUUUAGAAGAGAGAUUUAAAAAUCGCGUUCACUGGGACAAUGUAACAGGAUUAUUCAGUCUGUCAGACCUACAGAUAGAAGAUGCUGGGGUUUAUUCUGUGGAGAAUAAAGACGGAGAGAAUUGGAUACCUAAAUUUAACCUCACUCUUUACUGUAAGUAUGUGCGUGUGUGUGCGUGUGUGUGUGUGCGUGUGUGCUAUAUUACAAAAACAUGAAAUAUAAGUUCCAUUCCUCCAAUGUAUUUACUAUUUGUCUUCCAGAUGUUGUUUCCAAACCUCAGGUGACAGAGUGUGACAGCAGCUCCUGUAGUGUAGUGUGUUCUGUGGACAACAAAAAAGAGGUUACCUUGACCUUGUACAGGGGAGAGGAAAUACUAAACCAGACCAGCAGUCCUGACCUCACCACCGAUCUAUCUCUCCGUUUGGAGGUAGAGGGAAAGGACUACAACUCCACCUACAGCUGUGUGGCUGCUAACCCUGUCAGCAAUGAGACAGUUCUUGUCCCAAAAUGUUGCAGUGAAGAUGGUCAUCCCAAGGAGACAGACAGUGAUGGGAUGACUCGGGGUAUGCUUAUUAUUGCUGUAAUCUGCGUUUUGGUUGCCUCAGGGCUGGUUGGACUUGCAAUCAAUCUAAAGCAGAGGGGAAAUGAACACUCACAAGGCAGGUAUUAA